AGAACGAACGCUGGCGGCGUGCCUAACACAUGCAAGUCGAACGAGAAAGGGGCUUCGGCUCCGAGUAAAGUGGCGCACGGGUGAGUAACACGUAGGUAACCUGCCUCUAAGAUUGGGAUAACUUGUCGAAAGACGAGCUAAUACCAAAUAAGACCACGGUCUCCUCGGGGGACAGAGGUCAAAGGUAGCCUCUAUUUAUAAGCUAUCGCUGAGAGAUGGGCCUGCGUACCAUUAGCUAGUUGGUGAGGUAACGGCUCACCAAGGCAAAGAUGGUUAGCUGGUCUGAGAGGAUGAUCAGCCACACUGAACUGAGACACGGUCCAGACU
RNAcentral lists this ribosomal RNA (327 nucleotides) under uncultured soil bacterium. RNAcentral describes it as "bacterial SSU rRNA". It matches the Rfam family "Bacterial small subunit ribosomal RNA", at positions 26 to 337 of the family's 1533-position model. The record is from RNAcentral.